Molecule: ribosomal RNA, 208 nt
Filed under: uncultured bacterium
Lineage: Bacteria
Description: partial 16S ribosomal RNA
Rfam family: Bacterial small subunit ribosomal RNA
Source: RNAcentral
UGCGUAGGUGGCGAGGUAAGUCUGAUGUGAAAUCUCCGAGCUUAACUCGGAAAUGGCAUUGGAAACUACUUUGCUUGAGGGUUGGGAGGGGGGACUGGAAUACUUGGUGUAGCAGUGAAAUGCGUAGAUAUCAAGUGGAACACCAGUGGCGAAGGCGAGUCCCUGGACAACUCCUGACACUGAGGCACGAAAGCUAGGGAGGCAAACA